UUAGUAUUUGGUCGUAGACCCGAAACCAGGUGAUCUACCCUUGGUCAGGUUGAAGUUCAGGUAACACUGAAUGGAGGACCGAACCGACUUACGUUGAAAAGUGAGCGGAUGAACUGAGGGUAGCGGAGAAAUUCCAAUCGAACCUGGAGAUAGCUGGUUCUCUCCGAAAUAGCUUUAGGGCUAGCCUCAAGUGAUGAUUAUUGGAGGUAGAGCACUGUUUGGACGAGGGGCCCCUCUCGGGUUACCGAAUUCAGACAAACUCCGAAUGCCAAUUAAUUUAACUUGGGAGUCAGAACAUGGGUGAUAAGGUCCGUGUUCGAAAGGGAAACAGCCCAGACCACCAGCUAAGGUCCCAAAAUAUAUGUUAAGUGGAAAAGGAUGUGGCGUUGCCCAGACAACUAGGAUGUUGGCUUAGAAGCAGCCAUCAUUUAAAGAGUGCGUAAUAGCUCACUAGUCGAGUGACACUGCGCCGAAAAUGUACCGGGGCUAAACAUAUUACCGAAGCUGUGGAUUGUCCUUUGGACAAUGGUAGGAGAGCGUUCUAAGGGCGUUGAAGCAUGAUCGUAAGGACAUGUGGAGCGCUUAGAAGUGAGAAUGCCGGUGUGAGUAGCGAAAGACGGGUGAGAAUCCCGUCCACCGAUUGACUAAGGUUUCCAGAGGAAGGCUCGUCCGCUCUGGGUUAGUCGGGUCCUAAGCUGAGGCCGACAGGCGUAGGCGAUGGAUAACAGGUUGAUAUUCCUGUACCACCUAUAAUCGUUUUAAUCGAUGGGGGGACGCAGUAGGAUAGGCGAAGCGUGCGAUUGGAUUGCACGUCUAAGCAGUAAGGCUGAGUAUUAGGCAAAUCCGGUACUCGUUAAGGCUGAGC
This 865-nucleotide ribosomal RNA is filed under the name Staphylococcus aureus. RNAcentral's name for it is "partial 23S ribosomal RNA". It matches the Rfam family "Bacterial large subunit ribosomal RNA", at positions 696 to 1561 of the family's 2925-position model. Lineage: Bacteria; Bacillati; Bacillota; Bacilli; Caryophanales; Staphylococcaceae. The record is from RNAcentral.